UGGGGAAUAUUGGACAAUGGGCGCAAGCCUGAUCCAGCAAUGCCGCGUGGGUGAAGAAGGUUUUCGGAUUGUAAAGCCCUUUCGGCGGGGACGAUGAUGACGGUACCCGCAGAAGAAGCUCCGGCUAACUUCGUGCCAGCAGCCGCGGUAAUACGAAGGGGGCUAGCGUUGCUCGGAAUGACUGGGCGUAAAGGGCGCGUAGGCGGUUUGCACAGUCAGAUGUGAAAUUCCUGGGCUUAACCUGGGGGCUGCAUUUGAUACGUGUAGGCUUGAGUGGGGAAGAGGGUCGUGGAAUUCCCAGUGUAGAGGUGAAAUUCGUAGAUAUUCGCAAGAACACCGGUGGCGAAGGCGGCUCACUGGUCCGGAACUGACACUGAGGCACGACAGCGUGGGGAGCAAAC
Molecule: ribosomal RNA, 401 nt
Filed under: uncultured bacterium
Lineage: Bacteria
Description: bacterial SSU rRNA
Rfam family: Bacterial small subunit ribosomal RNA
Source: RNAcentral